ACUUUAUGUGUUUUCUGAGCACUUCAAAUUCUCUUAGACUUUGCUUGAUUGGUUAGCUGAAGCCUGGAUUCCGUAGUGAAUUCUCUUUAAUGAUGUAAAGAUUCCGGAACUUUUCUUUCAUUCUUGGAGAGUUCUGAGAGUAUUGAAAUGGAUCUAUUAUAUGAACUUUCCCUGCUGCUUCUUAGCUGUACACACCUGGAAGACCAUUAAUGCAAAGAGUUCCAUGGUCUUAGAAGGUCAGACUAUUUCUCAAGUGGCAAUUUGUAGCAUCUUAUACCACAUGUUAUGAAGAGAUACAACAUAUGACCAGUUUCCUUGCUCUUAUGACAGAUGCAUUUCCACCAUUUUAGCAGUUGAAUUAAACUGUAGGAUACAAUUGAUUAUUGAGAAAUGGUAACUCAGCUACACAGCAGCACCAUCUUUUGGCCUUCUAAGGAAAAUGAUCCAAACUUGUCAAUUAUGAAGCCUGUAUUUCUGGUUUGUGUUGUGUGUUCACUUUGUAAUUCAUCUUUGUAAUAAAAUUAAAUCAAGAAAAUAUCUGCA
Molecule: long non-coding RNA, 543 nt
Filed under: Oryctolagus cuniculus (rabbit)
Lineage: Eukaryota; Metazoa; Chordata; Mammalia; Lagomorpha; Leporidae
Description: lncRNA (ENSOCUG00000036069.1)
Source: RNAcentral